UACGAAGGGGGCUAGCGUUGCUCGGAAUCACUGGGCGUAAAGCGCACGUAGGCGGCCUACUAAGUCAGGGGUGAAAUCCUGGAGCUCAACUCCAGAACUGCCUUUGAUACUGGUUGGCUUGAGUCCGGGAGAGGUGAGUGGAACUGCGAGUGUAGAGGUGAAAUUCGUAGAUAUUCGCAAGAACACCAGUGGCGAAGGCGGCUCACUGGCCCGGUACUGACGCUGAGGUGCGAAAGCGUGGGGAGCAAACAGG
RNAcentral lists this ribosomal RNA (253 nucleotides) under uncultured bacterium. RNAcentral describes it as "partial 16S ribosomal RNA". It matches the Rfam family "Bacterial small subunit ribosomal RNA", at positions 524 to 776 of the family's 1533-position model. The record is from RNAcentral.